Molecule: ribosomal RNA, 583 nt
Filed under: uncultured archaeon
Lineage: Archaea
Description: bacterial SSU rRNA
Rfam family: Archaeal small subunit ribosomal RNA
Source: RNAcentral
AUAGAUGAGAAGGCCUGGAAUGGUUUCUCAUCCAAAAGGCGUUUAGACCAUGCUUCUAGGCGUCGCCAAAGGAUGAGGUCGCGGCCGAUCAGGUUGUUGGUGAGGUAACGGCUCACCAAGCCUAUAACCGGUACGGGCCGUGAGAGCGGGAGCCCGGAGAUGGGCACUGAGACAAGGGCCCAGGCCCUACGGGGCGCAGCAGUUGCGAAAACUCCGCAAUGCGCGAAAGCGUGACGGGGCUACCCCGAGUGCCGUCCGCUGAGGACGGCUUUUCCACGGUGUAAGGAGGCGUGGGAAUAAGGAGAGGGCAAGCCUGGUGUCAGCCGCCGCGGUAAAACCAGCUCUCCGAGUGGUGGGGACAAUUAUUGGGCUUAAAGCGUUCGUAGCCGGCUCAGCAAGUCUUCCGUUAAAUCCAACGAUCUAAUCGUUGGACUGCGGAAGAUACUGUUGGGCUAGGGGGCGGGAGAAGCCGACGGUAUUCUCGGGGUAGGGGCGAAAUCUUAUAAUCCCGGGAGGACCACCAGUGGCGAAGGCGGUCGGCUAGAACGCGCCCGACGGUGAGGGACGAAAGCUGGGGGAGCGA